This 962-nucleotide long non-coding RNA is filed under the name Ornithorhynchus anatinus (platypus). RNAcentral describes it as "lncRNA (ENSOANG00000045281.1)". The record is from RNAcentral. Lineage: Eukaryota; Metazoa; Chordata; Mammalia; Monotremata; Ornithorhynchidae.
AUGGAGGAGGAUGAGGCGGCGGCGGAGCCAGGACCGACCGACCGACGGACCGGGACGGAGCCUCGUCUACCGCCCCUGGAACCCGGCACUGGUGUCUGCCCGCGGCCGGUGAGGCCAGAGUUCCGGAGGUGCAGCAUGGCCCGGGGCUGCCUCUGCUGCCUCAAAUACAGCAUGUUCCUCUUCAACCUGCUCUUCUGGGUGAGUACUCCCCCUGCCCUGCCCUGCCCCUCCCCGUCGCCUCCUCUCCCCUCUCCUCCUCUCCCCCCACCCCGCCUUUCCCCCCUCCUCGGCCUGGGAAACUUUCCAGCCGCCCCCACCAGACUGAACUGGGGCCUGGGCGGCCGGUUGGGGGGCAGGACGGGUAGGUGGGGGCCACCGGGGGCCGGGGCCGGCGCCCAGGGUGGAGGUCUGGCCGGUUUCGGGGCCGCGGCGUCGAGCGGGAAGGCCAGCGGGCCGUGGGACGCGAGGCGAGGCCGGGUCGGACGGUGUGGGGGGGUCGGGCCGGGUGGGGCAGGGGGAGUGACGCCCUUGGGGGGGCCCUCACCGGAUGGGACUUGUGGGGGACGGGUGCGGGUUUUGAUGCCGGGAUGAUAGGCGGUACGGCCUGUUGCCGGGGUCACUGGUGCCCAUCCUGGGGGUGGGGCAGUGCCCCGGUGGAAGGGGGGACAGGGAGGGCCCAGAAAUGUUUGAGAGAGACAGAGGAUUUAAAGGGCCAGUUGUGCCGUCCAAAUGACCACACCCCCGGUCUCCCCCCCCCCACACGAUCGCCCACACAAGGUCAGGGACAGAGAAAGUCGGUCAGCGCCCAGUUUUGGCAGGGGACAGGCGGGAGGGUCACCCGGGGGAGAGUCACGGCUGGCACGCCCCUCUUACCCCCCCAAUGAAGCCCUGGGUCUCUGCCAGCUGCUCUGACCCACUUUUCUCCCUGGCCAGUGGGGGAAGGGAGAAAGCUUGUCCCCUUG